Molecule: non-coding RNA, 293 nt
Organism: Lonchura striata (white-rumped munia)
Lineage: Eukaryota; Metazoa; Chordata; Aves; Passeriformes; Estrildidae
Source: RefSeq, a predicted model, not a curated record
AAGUGUGGCCCAGGCACUGCAGGAACGUGCUUAGGAAAUGAAGGUGAUCCUGAGUAAAAGGUGAACGUGCUGAAUGGAACAAGAAGUAAGAAUUACUGCAGACAGGAUGCAGCUUUCUCAGUUCCAAGUCAGAAGCUUCAAGCAAGUCCUUGAAUUAGAGCAUGAAGUGGAUCAGAAGCCAGAGAGAAACACACAGACUGGUCUGGGAUCCCCCUAAGUGCAGUGUAAAGGCAAGGAUUGUGAUUGUGCUGUACACUGCUACAUCCAGCUCACCCUCACCACCCCAAAUCUGU